Molecule: ribosomal RNA, 253 nt
Filed under: uncultured bacterium
Lineage: Bacteria
Description: partial 16S ribosomal RNA
Rfam family: Bacterial small subunit ribosomal RNA
Source: RNAcentral
UACGAGGGGGGCUAGCGUUGCUCGGAAUUACUGGGCGUAAAGGGCGCGUAGGCGGAUGUUUAAGUCAGCGGUGAAAGCCCAGGGCUCAACCUUGGAACUGCCAUUGAUACUGGACAUCUUGAGUACGGGAGAGGUGAGUGGAACUCCGAGUGUAGAGGUGAAAUUCGUAGAUAUUCGGAAGAACACCAGUGGCGAAGGCGACUCACUGGCCCGUUACUGACGCUGAGGCGCGAAAGCGUGGGGAGCAAACAGG